GACGUAGGUGGCGAACGUUAUCCGGAAUUAUUGGGCGUAAAGGGUGUGUAGGCGGCAUGAUAAGUUAUUGGCGGGAAAUCGAGGCUCAACCUCGUGGAAACUAAUAAUACUGUUUUGCUUGAGUACAGGAGAGGUUAACGGAACUCCGUGUGGAGCGGUAAAAUGUGUAGAUAUAUGGAAGAACAUCAAUAACGGCGAAGGCAGUUAACUAUUCUGUUACUGACGUUGAGGCACGAAAGCGUGGGGAGCAAAACGG
RNAcentral lists this ribosomal RNA (256 nucleotides) under uncultured bacterium. RNAcentral describes it as "partial 16S ribosomal RNA". It matches the Rfam family "Bacterial small subunit ribosomal RNA", at positions 524 to 776 of the family's 1533-position model. The record is from RNAcentral.